AUACGAGGGGUGCAAGCGUUGUUCGGAAUCACUGGGCGUAAAGGGAGCGUAGGCGGAAGUGCAAGCAAUCUGUAUAAUCCUGGGGCCCAACCCCAGUUCUGCAGAUUGGACUGUAUUUCUUGAAUAGUUCAGAGGCAAGCGGAAUUUCUGGUGUAGCGGUGAAAUGCGUAGAUAUUAGGAGGAACACCAGUGGCGAAGGCGGCUUGCUGGACCGUAACUGACGCUGAGGCUCGAAAGCGUGGGGAGC
This 247-nucleotide ribosomal RNA is filed under the name uncultured bacterium. Its description in RNAcentral is "partial 16S ribosomal RNA". It matches the Rfam family "Bacterial small subunit ribosomal RNA", at positions 523 to 769 of the family's 1533-position model. The record is from RNAcentral.